Molecule: long non-coding RNA, 1423 nt
Organism: Ostrea edulis (European flat oyster)
Lineage: Eukaryota; Metazoa; Mollusca; Bivalvia; Ostreida; Ostreidae
Exons: 2
Source: RefSeq, a predicted model, not a curated record
GUUUCACCGUAACACUUGCACAUUGACAUUUUUGAUAGAUUAUCAUAGAAAUGAAUGUUUCGGUAAAGUCACAGAUCAGACUGAUACACGUAUAUGUCAAUUUAAAAGAUUUAAGGAAAGGUAAAGAAUUUUCUCUACCUCGAAAAUCACCGACCCUUGUCGAAGUCCCACAUUCGUUGUCAGCUCUUCCAGCUAAAAUGACAAACAGUUAUUGAGCCAUAUCGGUGUUUGUCGACGGCUGUACAAAAUGGAGAAAGAUCACGAAAACAAGGUGCCGAGAGUUCAAAUACAGGAUGAAUUUAUGAGUCCGGAUAGACCCCUGACGUCAUCUGAGCGUGUUCUAUUUGGAAUGCUGGUGUUUUUCAUGUACAGCGUGUUUAUCGUGGCUGUAAGCCUCACAGCACAUUACAACCAAUGAACGAAACAAUUCACUUUGCUCGAGAUGGAUAACAACUUAUAUUAUGUGUAGCCGGAAUGAGUCAUCUAACAAAUCGUCAAAGUUUACCAAGCUGAUCUUGGAAUGGAUAUUUUUACCCUGUGAUUUGAACCAUUUGCUUGUAUAUCAGUUGCUGACCUACUAGCCUCGUUAUGAAAUUUUCAAGGAGAUUAACUCAUAUUGUAUAGAUAUGAUGUAUUUGUGUUAAAUAAAAAUAGAAUCGAAUCGCUUAAAAGUAAUUUUGGCAAGGAAGCAAACACACACGUGUUGUCAGUGAUCACGCUGAUCCUAGAACCCAUCUUGUCCAUCAAACACAUAUAAUUUUAUUCUUUGAACUGAUACGGUUACCAUAGAAACUUAUAGCUUUGACAAAAUUACAGAGGAUCAUGUUUGUGACUCUUUCCCACUUUUUUAAUAACAUCAAUUAUGUAAUUAUCACCGAAAUGGAAAUAAACUUUUAUUACCAUGAUGUACCACAUUGCUAACAACAUUGUGAACAUGCCAUCCAUCCCUCUACAACCUACUGGAACAGCAACAGGAGGUCAUACAAAACGGUUUCUACAACCAUUCUGCCACAUCAAAAGUUACCAGGAUUCAUUUUCCCAACCACUAUUUCCCUUUGGACAUUGUGGACACCGAUUCACUUGAGACUUUCAAAGUCCGAAUCGGCGAACUUAUGACACUGUGAAUAGAGAAAUUCUUUUUGUCCAGUUUUUCAUCCCAAAAGUCCUUCACCAUAAGAUUUUAACCUUUUAUUUCUAUACGACUCUGCUCUGAGUGGAUUGUAUGUUGUGAGAGAACUAUGGCUAGUAUGGUUGUCACUGCUCGCUGUAAAUUUAUAAUAAUUUUCUUUUAUACCUGUAUUUGCAUAUUGUCAAACUAAUGAAAUAAUUAAUGAUGAGGAGGCUGUUUGUGAAACACCCGACUCUACUUUUCGUGUUGUCUGUUUAGCAUUACAGUCAAGAUAGCACAUACGUCUGAUUUCAU